Molecule: long non-coding RNA, 293 nt
Organism: Felis catus (domestic cat)
Lineage: Eukaryota; Metazoa; Chordata; Mammalia; Carnivora; Felidae
Exons: 2
Source: RefSeq, a predicted model, not a curated record
GGAAGAGCAGGGGCAGGGCGUGCCUUUCCAGCUCGCCUCAGAACUGAAGGAGGCAGAGGUGUCCUGUCCGGGGUUGUGCACUGUGGCCAGCGGGGAGCAGCAAAGACCUGGUAAAACCUUGGGAGAGGAGAGAAUGACCCAAGCUAGAGACAGAGAUGCUGCUAGAACUCGGGAUGCCCAGGAGUUCAGGGGUCUUGGGCACAAAUUCCAGGCCUCUUCUACCCAAGCAAGUUACUGAUUUUCGCCAAACCUAUUUCUAAAAUAGAUACAAUAAAAACGACCUUUUUGCUUUU